AGGUCCACCACCAGUUGUAGUAGUCGAGUACAAACCACCAGGAGACCAAGUUCCACCUUUGCCAACUAAGCCGACUGAGGAGACCACCCCUCCAAUACCUGAGAAAGAGGCUCCAGCAGCUGAGACACAGUCAUUGCUCAAUAAAGGUGAGUUAUUUUUUCUUAUUAUUCUGCUAUAAGCUGAAAAGUUAUAGAUAGAAAUGGACUUUAUGAC
Molecule: long non-coding RNA, 213 nt
Organism: Synchiropus splendidus (mandarinfish)
Lineage: Eukaryota; Metazoa; Chordata; Actinopteri; Syngnathiformes; Callionymidae
Exons: 3
Source: RefSeq, a predicted model, not a curated record